AUUGAACGCUGGCGGCAUGCCUUACACAUGCAAGUCGAACGGCAGCACGGGAGCAAUCCUGGUGGCGAGUGGCGAACGGGUGAGUAAUAUAUCGGAACGUGCCCAGUCGUGGGGGAUAACGCAGCGAAAGCUGUGCUAAUACCGCAUACGAUCUAAGGAUGAAAGCGGGGGAUCGCAAGACCUCGCGCGAUUGGAGCGGCCGAUAUCAGAUUAGCUAGUUGGUGGGGUAAAAGCCCACCAAGGCGACGAUCUGUAGCUGGUCUGAGAGGACGACCAGCCACACUGGAACUGAGACACGGUCCAGACUCCUACGGGAGGCAGCAGUGGGGAAUUUUGGACAAUGGGCGAAAGCCUGAUCCAGCAAUGCCGCGUGCAGGACGAAGGCCUUCGGUUGUAAACUGCUUUGUACGGACGAAACGGCCUCUUCUAAUAAAGGGGACGUAAUGACGGUACCGUAAGAAUAAGACACCGGCUAACUACGUAGCCAGCAGCCGC
RNAcentral lists this ribosomal RNA (495 nucleotides) under uncultured bacterium. RNAcentral's name for it is "bacterial SSU rRNA". It matches the Rfam family "Bacterial small subunit ribosomal RNA", at positions 30 to 518 of the family's 1533-position model. The record is from RNAcentral.